This 72-nucleotide transfer RNA is filed under the name Bacteroidota bacterium. Its description in RNAcentral is "tRNA-Gly". It matches the Rfam family "tRNA". From Rfam's summary of the family: Transfer RNA (tRNA) molecules are approximately 80 nucleotides in length. Their secondary structure includes four short double-helical elements and three loops (D, anti-codon, and T loops). RNAcentral also lists the same sequence under 1 other name. Lineage: Bacteria; Pseudomonadati; Bacteroidota. The record is from RNAcentral.
GCGAGUGUAGCUCAGGGGUAGAGCACGACCUUGCCAAGGUCGGGGUCGAGGGUUCAAAUCCCUUCACUCGCU